RNAcentral lists this ribosomal RNA (497 nucleotides) under uncultured bacterium. RNAcentral describes it as "partial 16S ribosomal RNA". It matches the Rfam family "Bacterial small subunit ribosomal RNA", at positions 28 to 507 of the family's 1533-position model. The record is from RNAcentral.
GAUGAACGCUGGCGGCGUGCCUAAUACAUGCAAGUCGAGCGAACAGACGAGGAGCUUGCUCCUCUGACGUUAGCGGCGGACGGGUGAGUAACACGUGGAUAACCUACCUAUAAGACUGGGAUAACUUCGGGAAACCGGAGCUAAUACCGGAUAAUAUAUUGAACCGCAUGGUUCAAUAGUGAAAGACGGUUUUGCUGUCACUUAUAGAUGGAUCCGCGCCGCAUUAGCUAGUUGGUAAGGUAACGGCUUACCAAGGCAACGAUGCGUAGCCGACCUGAGAGGGUGAUCCGCCACACUGGAACUGAGACACGGUCCAGACUCCUACGGGAGGCAGCAGUAGGGAAUCUUCCGCAAUGGGCGAAAGCCUGACGGAGCAACGCCGCGUGAGUGAUGAAGGUCUUCGGAUCGUAGAACUCUGUUAUUAUGGAAGAACAAAUGUGUAAGUAACUAUGCACGUCUUGACGGUACCUAAUCAGAAAGCCACGGCUAACUACGUG